AAGUCGUAACAAGGUAUCCGUAGGUGAACCUGCGGAUGGAUCAUUAACAAAUUGGGAGAAAUCCUAACUUUAUGUGAAAAUGCAAUCAUGGUUUGUCACUGACUUAUCAUGGCUGAAUAACCAAACUUUGGGGGCAAAUUCUUGUAGUUUCCCCCAAAAUUCAUACCAAACCUAACUCUUUAUUACCAAAAGCCAAAAUUCAUUAUUAAUUUAAUACAACUUUUAACAAUGGAUCUCUUGGCUCUC
Molecule: unclassified non-coding RNA, 246 nt
Filed under: fungal sp.
Lineage: Eukaryota; Fungi
Description: partial internal transcribed spacer region
Rfam family: Eukaryotic small subunit ribosomal RNA (bases 1-46)
Source: RNAcentral